GAGUUUGAUCCUGGCUCAGAACGAACGCUGGCGGCGUGCCUAACACAUGCAAGUCGGACGGGGGUGUACUGAGCAGCUUGCUGCCUGGUGCACUCUAGUGGCGGACGGGUGAGUAACACGUAGGAAACCAACCCUGAAGCGGGGGACAACCCAGGGAAACUUGGGCUAAUACCGCAUAAGGCCACGGGCUGAGAGGCCAGUGGUAAAAGGAGCAAUCCACUUCAGGAUGGGCCUGCGGCCUAUCAGGUAGUUGGCGGGGUAAAUGCCCACCAAGCCAAAGACGGGUAGGGGGCGUGAGAGCGUGACCCCCCACACUGGUACUGAGACACGGACCAGAUACCUGCGGGUAGCAGCAGCAAGGAAUAUUGCCCAAUGGACGCAAGUCUGAGGCAGCAACACCGCGUGGAGGAUGAAGGCCUUCGGGUUGUAAACUCCUUUUCUGGGGGAAUAGAAAGGAAGGUACCCCAGGAAUAAU
This 475-nucleotide ribosomal RNA is filed under the name uncultured bacterium. RNAcentral's name for it is "bacterial SSU rRNA". It matches the Rfam family "Bacterial small subunit ribosomal RNA", at positions 9 to 490 of the family's 1533-position model. The record is from RNAcentral.